Molecule: ribosomal RNA, 904 nt
Filed under: Lacticaseibacillus casei
Lineage: Bacteria; Bacillati; Bacillota; Bacilli; Lactobacillales; Lactobacillaceae
Description: bacterial SSU rRNA
Rfam family: Bacterial small subunit ribosomal RNA
Source: RNAcentral
UCGAACGAGUUCUCGUUGAUGAUCGGCGCUUGCACCGAGAUUCAACAUGGAACGAGUGGCGGACGGGUGAGUAACACGUGGGUAACCUGCCCUUAAGUGGGGGAUAACAUUUGGAAACAGAUGCUAAUACCGCAUAGAUCCAAGAACCGCAUGGUUCUUGGCUGAAAGAUGGCGUAAGCUAUCGCUUUUGGAUGGACCCGCGGCGUAUUAGCUAGUUGGUGAGGUAAUGGCUCACCAAGGCGAUGAUACGUAGCCGAACUGAGAGGUUGAUCGGCCACAUUGGGACUGAGACACGGCCCAAGACUCCUACGGAAGGCAACAGUAGGGAAUCUUCCACAAUGGACGCAAGCCUGACGGAGCAACGCCGCGUGAAUGAAGAAGGCUUUCGGAUCGUAAAACUCUGUUAUUAGGGAAGAAUGGUCGGCAGAGUAACUGUUGCCAGCGUGACGGUAUCCAACCAGAAAGCCACGGCUAAUUACGUGCCAGCAGCCGCGGUAAUACGUAGGUGGCAAGCGUUAUCCGGAAUUAUUGGGCGUAAAGCGAGCGCAGGCGGUUUUUUAAGUCUUGAUGUGAAAAGCCCCGGCUUAACCAAGAAGGGCAUCAGAAAACGGGAAACUUGAGUGCAAGAAACAGCAGUGGAACUAUGUGUAGCGGUGAAAGCAAGAAUGGAAGGAAACCAGCGGUGGGGGGGGGCGUCUGGUCUGAAACUGAAGCCGAAAAGCGGGGGGAGCAAGAGGGAUUAGAUACCCUGUAAGUCCCACCGCAAACGAUGAGUGCCAAGUGCUUAGAGGGUUUCCGCCCCCUUAGUGCUGCAGCUAAACCGUUAAGCCCAAAUCUUUGGUUAAGUUGGGCACUUCAGUUUGACUGCCGGUUGGGGCCCUAACACCACGUGCCUUACCAUGGA